Fundulus heteroclitus (mummichog) is the source of this 340-nucleotide long non-coding RNA. RefSeq lists it as uncharacterized. NCBI's taxonomy places the organism in Eukaryota, Metazoa, Chordata, Actinopteri, Cyprinodontiformes, Fundulidae. The record is from RefSeq and is a predicted model, not a curated record. The transcript is spliced from 4 exons.
GCAGGAACCAUGGGAGGGUUGUGGCUUUUGGGUGUUUGUGCAGUUGCAGUAUGGCUUAAAGGGUUUUGUUUACCAAUUGAUCAUAAUGGAGGAAAACACAAUGAGCCAUGGAGGAUUGGGAACUCCUUGUCCCAAAAUGAAAUUUCUCUGAGGAAACCGGUUGCUUUGCUCCAGUCAAUGGAUUCCAGGUUGCAGGGAAAAACAAAAGAAGUGCAACUGGAAACCAAUGAAGUGGAUGUGUCAAGCGACGCCUCCCACAACGUGUCAAGCGACGCCUCCCACAACGUGUCAAGCGACGCCUCCCACAACGUGUCAAGCGACGCCUCCCACAACGUGUCAA